AAUGGCUUCUUCACCAUUGAACCUUUCUUUUCUUGUGUAGUAGCUUCGAUUCAGAUUUCUUAAGAAAGCUAAAAAGAUAGAUCGACGAUCAAGAUAAGUCGCGUUGAAAGCUUUUUGUACAAAACUCUCGAAAAAACCCUAGAUUGAAAGAUGGUACUGAUCGAAUCAAGUGAGAGUGAGGAUGAGAUCCUCAUCAAAACCGAACCAAAGCCAUCGUCUUCGUCUUCACCGCAGCAACCCACGACGGAGACGAAACAAGUCGACGGAGAUGAUUCCGACGGGUUCGAGACUGCCAGCGAACGUGAGAUCAGCGAUGAAGAAGGAGAUGAAGAUGGUACUAAAAACGACGCCGUCACUAUUCAGGAGGAGAAGGAAGAACAGGUUGAGCUAAUGAGUGAAGGAGUAGCCAUAACCGACGACGGAUCAAACAAGGAGAAAGCUAUGGCAGAAGCAAAUGAAGCUAAAGCGGAAGGAAACAAAUGCUUCGUUAAUGGCUUUUAUGAAGAGGCAUUGUCAAAGUAUGCUUUUGCUUUAGAGCUUGUGAAGGAGUUUCCUGAGUCUAUAGAGCUUCGAUCCAUAUGCCAUUUAAACAGAGGUGUAUGUUUCCUCAAAUUGGGUAAAUAUGAAGAAACGAUCAAGGAAUGUACGAAAGCGUUAGAGCUAAAUCCUACCUACACUAAGGCCUUGGUUCGAAGGGCAGAAGCACAUGAGAAGCUUGAGCAUUUCGAAGAUGCUGUCACGGACCUGAAGAAGAUCUUAGAACUUGAUCCUUCAAGUGAUCAUGCUAGGAAAGGGAUACGACGUCUUGAACCUCUUGCUGCUGAGAAGCGAGAAAAGAUGAAAGAAGAGGCUAUAACUAAGCUGAAGGAGAUGGGAAACUCGAUCUUGGGUCGCUUUGGGAUGAGUGUGGACAACUUCAAGGCUGUUAAAGAUCCCAACACUGGCUCCUACUCUCUUUCUUUCCAAAACUAGUCAUUAAUAUCGACGACGACGAUAUUAUAUCGUAGUGGUCUUUGAUGUUUUGCUUCUACCACUUAAUGUUUAGCAACAAUCUGAACAUACAACAAGCUAUUUUGGAUUCAAUGGAAUCCCAUGAAGAAAAAAAACAUCAACGGUCUUGUAUAAGAGUUGCAGAUUCUGUGUUAUGGCAUGCUGCUCCAAGUACUCUUUGUAAAUUCAAAAUUCAAUGUUACAACAAUGGAUAAAUUUCCCUUUUC
This is an RNA transcript of Camelina sativa (false flax), 1217 nucleotides long. RefSeq lists it as uncharacterized. Lineage: Eukaryota; Viridiplantae; Streptophyta; Magnoliopsida; Brassicales; Brassicaceae. The record is from RefSeq and is a predicted model, not a curated record.